This 460-nucleotide ribosomal RNA is filed under the name uncultured bacterium. RNAcentral's name for it is "partial 16S ribosomal RNA". It matches the Rfam family "Bacterial small subunit ribosomal RNA", at positions 338 to 795 of the family's 1533-position model. The record is from RNAcentral.
CCUACGGGGGGCAGCAGUGAGGAAUAUUGGUCAAUGGACGAGAGUCUGAACCAGCCAAGUCGCGUGAAGGAUGACUGCCCUAUGGGUUGUAAACUUCUUUUAUAUGGGAAUAAAAUGUUCCACGUGUGGGCUUUUGUAUGUACCAUAUGAAUAAGGAUCGGCUAACCCCGUGCCAGCAGCCGCGGUAAUACGGAGGAUCCGAGCGUUAUCCGGAUUUAUUGGGUUUAAAGGGAGCGUAGGUGGAUUGUUAAGUCAGUUGUGAAAGUUUGCGGCUCAACCGUAAAAUUGCAGUUGAAACUGGCAGUCUUGAGUACAGUAGAGGUGGGCGGAAUUCGUGGUGUAGCGGUGAAAUGCUUAGAUAUCACGAAGAACUCCGAUUGCGAAGGCAGCUCACUGGACUGCAACUGACACUGAGGCUCGAAAGUGUGGGUAUCAAACAGGAUUAGAUACCCUUGUAGUC